AUACGGAGGAUCCGAGCGUUAUCCGGAUUUAUUGGGUUUAAAGGGUGCGCAGGCGGGAGAUUAAGUCGGCGGUGAAAUUUUGCAGCUCAACUGUAAAAGUGCCUUCGAAACUGGUUUCCUUGAGUGUAGAUGAAGUAGGCGGAAUUUGUGGUGUAGCGGUGAAAUGCAUAGAUAUCACGAGGAACUCCGAUUGCGCAGGCAGCUUACUAAACUACUACUGACGCUCAGGCACGAAGGCGUGGGGAUCAAACAGGAUUAGAUACCCUGGUAGUCCACGCAGUAAACGAUGAUUACUAGCUGUUUGCGAUACAAUGUAAGCGGCUGAGCGAAAGCGUUAAGUAAUCCACCUGGGGAGUACGUUCGCAAGAAUGAAACUUAAAUGAAUUGACGGGG
Molecule: ribosomal RNA, 393 nt
Filed under: uncultured bacterium
Lineage: Bacteria
Description: partial 16S ribosomal RNA
Rfam family: Bacterial small subunit ribosomal RNA
Source: RNAcentral